Molecule: ribosomal RNA, 468 nt
Filed under: uncultured bacterium
Lineage: Bacteria
Description: partial 16S ribosomal RNA
Rfam family: Bacterial small subunit ribosomal RNA
Source: RNAcentral
GACGAACGCUGGCGGCGUGCUUAACACAUGCAAGUCGAACGGAAAGGCCCUGCUUUUGUGGGGUGCUCGAGUGGCGAACGGGUGAGUAACACGUGAGUAACCUGCCCUUGACUUUGGGAUAACUUCAGGAAACUGGGGCUAAUACCGGAUAGGAGCUCCUGCUGCAUGGUGGGGGUUGGAAAGUUUCGGCGGUUGGGGAUGGACUCGCGGCUUAUCAGCUUGUUGGUGGGGUAGUGGCUUACCAAGGCUUUGACGGGUAGCCGGCCUGGGAGGGUGACCGGCAGCAUGGGGACUGAGAUACGGCCCAGAAUGCUACGGGAGGCAACGGUGGGUAAUAUUGCACAAUGGGCGGAAGCCUGAUGCAGCAACGCCGGGUGCGGGAUGACGGCCUUCGGGGUGUAAACCGCUUUCGCCUGUGACGAAGCGUGAGUGACGGUAAUGAGUAAAGAAGCACCGGCUAACUACGUG